UUUCUCCUGAGAUGCUUCAUAGUGUGUUUGUGCUCUGCUUUGGUUCCUGCUGUCUCAGUUACCUUGCUGGUCUUCUUGGAUGGACCCUGAAGCUGUGUCACAGGGGCUAGUGAGAAAUCUGUCCUUUAAAGACUCAGCAGUAUAUAACGGGACAUGAUUGGUGUUAUCCAAAGAAAUUUUAAGCUUACAUCUUCCUGCUCUCAAUUAAAAGACAGACAACCAAGCACUCAACUGUGUGCUUAAGACCUAUGGACUUCAUUAUAAUGUCAUCAUGUUUUAAAGACUGACUGGCACUUUUAAGUACUUAUAGUUGGUAACACUAGAAAACUGAGGCCAUGUGGAGCCACUUCAGUAAUUGCAUUUAUUUUAAAAGAUUUCAACCACGCAAUGGAUACGUCUUCUAUAUUUUCCUGGUAGACUUCCUGGUUCACAGGACAUGUCACUAGUUGGGCACCAGCUUGGAAACUAAAAGACUGGCAGGCAGUUCAGUGCUUGAUUGCAGGUUUUUUGCUGGACCCUAAAUAAAUACUUCCAGUGUGUACCACAGAAGACUUGGGGCAGGAUUUGGAUAACAUUUCAGUUAACCAGUAUUUAAGUCUUGGGGCAGGAUUCAGGUAUUGUUUCAGGUAACCAGUAUUUAGCGCUGAUAUCUAAGUUCAAAUUAAUCCAAAUAGCAAAGAGAUGUAAUAUUAUUUCAGAGCAGGCUGAGCUCACUGCCCACUGCAGAUCUGCUUGAGUAUGGAUUACAGACUUUGGUUGCAGACUUUGGCCCAGUGAUACAAAGGAAAAUUACACUGAACUUCAGAGGCUUACAGUUUUGACCCAUUGAUUGUUUUGACUGGAUCAAAAAAAUCAAGAAUUUGGGAUUAUAGCACUUAGCUCUUUUAAGAAUGGUUAAGAAUUUAUGGCUUAUUAAACAAACAAGAUUUCUUUAAGCUCUUACAGUGUCCUAGCAUGGCUGGGAGACCCAAGUAUUUAUAGUGUCUUAGCAUAGUUAAGAUUUCUUCCCUCAUUAAAAAGACUUAACUGUGCUAAGGUUCCUUAAAUAUUUACUAGAGCUUAUAUGCACCGUAGGUGUUCCUAAUUUCCUUCUUAAUUUCUAAACAAGGAAAAUCAAUGCAAAGAAUUGUGCGAAGUGAAUUUGAGUGAUCAAGCUCUUACUUGAGAAAUUCAAGAAGUGACAUCAGCCUCAAAGUUAGCUCAGGCAUGAUGACUGCAUAUAACAUUUCCUUUGUGGAACAGAAACCUUUAUCAAGUGGUUCAGGGUAUGCUGUAAGAGAUACGCCCAAGCUAGAGAUGAGAAUCUUUCCAGUGUGGAUGUAAUUGCCAGUUGAUGGUUGCUGCUGGAACUCAAGUCCAGACUGGGGAUCAAGAGGAAUCUUCCCCUGCACCUACCAAAUUGCAAAACACCAUUGACUUCCUCUGUAGCUUGCAGUUCACCCAGCAGUCUGGUCCUUAGGUCACCUGGAAAUUUUAUUCAAUGACUGCAUUAGCAGUUCCUUCCCACCUCUUUCUCCAGCUUCUACUGCUUUCUUGAGGUACCCAGCUGGUGAAAUAGCUUUAAUACCACACUUCAUGUUUUCAGUGUUUUGUAAUAGAGCAUUGCAGUAGAAUGUUUGGGGGCCAAGGGCUUGCAGGAGCAUACAUCCAGAUUGUGGAGCACCUGGACAUCCACUGUACAUUUUUCAUGAUUGCAUGGGACUGAAUUCAGUCCAUUAGCAGUUCCUUCCAAUCCCAUGUUGUAGUAAAUUCACAUGGGCUACAACUCUUCAAAGGCUUAUAAGUAGCCCAUACUGGGUUGAUUUUCUUGUGGAAAGUAGGAAAAUAAAAAAAAAGGCAUAAUUCCUAACAAAAUUACUCCUUCCUGCCAAUUUCAGGGCAGUACAUGAGAGCAAGUGAGCUUUGCAGUGAAAAUGUCUCAGAUUUCUUCUUCCUUCCCCCCUCCUUUUUUUUUCUUUUCCCAUGAGUGAAACAGAAUGUUUUUCCCCUACCCUCAUUUUUGGAAAUAGUUGUAUUUUUUUAGCUGAAAUUUUCCAACACAUCUCAGCUUGACGCACAGACAUUGCAUGGAAAAUUUCAGCCUGAGCAUUUAAUGUUUGGCAAAGUUAUAAGCAACUGGGACUUAAAAUGGGAAGAGUCUGGCAAUCUAGGAUGUGCUAACAGCCUUCUUUCUAAUGAACAUGCUUGUACAAAGGCUAUUAAUAUACUCAAAAACUUGUCUGAAAGUCAGAAUAGCCCGAAAACAAUGUUGGUGUCCUGUCUGAACUUUCUAGUCUUUAUGGAAAAGUACUUUGAAAAAUCAUUGGAAAGCAAAGUUGUAUGACUAAAACAGAUAUAAAUCUAACUAUAAUUUUCUGGUAGGCUUAAUAGUUGAAAUAUUGUCUUCAGCUUCAAUAGUGAUAUUACCAAAAUGCAGUGUAGCGCUAGAAAAGCUACAGAAAAGGAAAUUGAGAAUGAUCCCUGGAGAUAAAAGAAUGUGCAAGAUGAAGUAAUUUGCAUAAAAAUUGGUAGAUUGGUAUUUAAUUGAAUUAUAUUGGAUCUUACACUUUUAGAUAAUAACCUACAAUAGUAACUCAAACUGAUAUUAUAGACUAAUGUAUUAUUGAAAACAAAUAUACUAUUGAAACAAGUUUUGACAAUGUGCUUACCUGGUAAAGUCGUCAUUUUAAAGCACUCAUGCUUUCUAGUGCAGUGAAAUCUGAUAGCACUAAAUAAAAUCUGUUAAAUUUGUGGUUUCCAUCGUUCUCAUUAUAGAUCUCUCCCACAGGUGCCUAGAAUGUUUGCAGCUGAUUCAGUUCUGUGCAGCAGGCCAAGCCACAUUAAAAUUUGGUAGAUAUUUUUGAUUGAUGUUACAUAAUUAUAGUAUAGUCAGACCUUUCCUCCCCCCCGCCUGGUUGUUCAGCCAUUAAACUGAUGCUGCCAGGUUAAAAAUACCAUGUUUUUAAAGCUUCUUGCAUGUAUGUUAGCAGCACUGUUCUGGCAUGUUAAAAUGGAAGAAUGCUAAAUAAUUUAAUGCACAUCCCUGUGUUUAUGCUAUUUCUGUUUGUGGAGCUGAAUAGUUAGAAAACUGAAAGUGUAGUAUUUGCCACAAUAUCAUAGAGAUUUGGCCUACCAAAUGAAAAAUACUGCCUUAUGGGACAAGCUUUUACUGUAUCACAUCUGACCAAUUGUACAAUGCUCUAUUCUGGGCUGACCUAACUCCUGUGAUGAUUAAAGUGAUGGUGUAGAUGAAAAAAAUCAACUCUUAAUAGGUAUAACUGUAUGUUAUUUGCUGAAAAGUCAAGCAAUUUUUUAAAACCUAUCUGCAGGUUUUUACAUUUUGUUCUCUGAGUAGUGAUUUUUAGCAUUUUCCUAUUAAUUGGUAAUAUCUUCAAGAGCUAAAGUUGUGCUUGAGUUGGACCUGUAAGAUACAAAAUUAAUACAGAAAUUUCAGUAUUCAUGUUUGCCAUGGGAUUCUUAGGCAGUGGUCACCAUAUUACUGCCUUCUUUCAUUAGAAAAUUAACCAGCAAUGUCUGUGCCUACAUAUUUUUAAUCAUACUCAUGCUUGGUUUUAACUUUCUGGCUUCCUUUGAUUCCACGUCAGCACUAACAAAAAUCAUGCAGAUCUUUACAUAAUGGAGCAGUUAGAAAAUCUGAUGCUUUUGGCAUAUUCUUAAUCUCAGCACUCCCAAACAAUGAUCUUCCCACGGGUCACAAUAUUCUUGUUCCUCUUGUGACACACUAAAUGUUGAAGUGGAUCUAGUUACAAUCAGUUUAGCAGUGUGCUGACUGUUGUGAAUCACGCCAAAUGCAUAAUAGCUAAUGACUGUAGCAGCCACAGAACACUGCUUCUGUUUUUUGUGGAAAUUUUAAGAUUUUGGUGAUUUCUUUUUACCAUUUCUAUUUCCUCAUUUGUAAUUGUAGGUGGUUUUUAAACAAAAGAUUUUCCAGCUCUGAUUUUAUCUCCAAGAAUCUUGAUAGAUUGUGAGCUCUAUCAGGUUAUUUUGCUGUGUGGCUUACCUACAUAGCCAAUUUGGAGGGAGGAUUAAGAGGCUGAGCAUGGGGUUUAUUAUAAACCUAUCAAGAUCUAAGAUGGAGAUUUUGCCAUUAUUUGCAUCAGUAGGUUUCAAAGUGAUGCAGCCCUUCAAGGCUCAAUGAAAGCAGUGCUGGAGAAGUCUAGAUAGAAUCAUAGAGUAGCUUGGGUUGGAAGGGACCUUCAAAGGUCAUCUUGUCCAACCACCCUGCAAUGAGCAGGGACAUCUUCAACUAGAUCAGGUUGCUCAGAGCCCCGUCCAGCCUGGCCUGGAAUGUCUCCAGGGAUGGGGCAUGUAAGUCAGGCUGGACCUAUAACCCCAACUGUGCAAUCAGAUCUAAUCAGGUGGAUCUCCAUAGACUGCGAAAGCCCCUUGAUAUCUGCGUUUUUUCACAGCGGUGUAGAAAUCCACCUGUUUGGCUCAGCUUGCCAAUGGUCCUAAGAGAGUAGCAGAGUACACACAUGUCCAUAUAUAUGCAGAAACUCUUAUGAAAGCUAGGAAAUGGUAUAAACAGACUGUGUUCUGUUCUGUUUCAUUCUGGGGAUUAAGAACUGAUCCUUUCCAAAAACACAUAGAGGAGGAUUCUCUUACUCUCCUGAAACAGACAGCAAGCCAGGAAAAUCUUUUUAAAAAGGCUGAAACCAAAAGAGUUUUCUGGGCCAUUUUGCACAGUGUCAAGUGACAUCAGGUCAAGUUCAAAACAAAUGUAGAACGUGCCCUGAUUGCUGCUUCAGAAAUGAGUAGUAUUUCCCUUGCUUAGUCUCCCUGGAAACACUGGCAAGCACAUGGGGAAUUAGGGGCUCCUUGAGCCAGAGAUGGAAAAACCAAGACUAAGAAUGACCUCAUAACAUGGUGUUUAAGGCACUGAGCGGGAGGUCUGUGUUCUGUUUGUGGUCAGAGAACAGCUUAUGUUUUAUUUCAAAAGACCCUAUGGUGAAAUACUCUAUCUGCAGGACUGGGGGUUAAAAGGUGUGAAAGCCUCUUUCUCAUUUGGCUUUUUUUUUUUUUUCUAAAGGUAUGAUCUACCACACCUUUUGUUUAUUUUGUUUUUUGGAAGAAAAUGUCAAUGCCCUUACUCAAGAAACAGUCUGGGACUUUUCUGUUGCAAUCUGUAAGGUGUCUAAGUCCUCAGUAUAUACACAUUUCCAGUUAGUAUUUCUAAUAUUAGCUAGUUUACCUAGUUUUUAUUCUGAACCUGAUUACUGGUCCUAUUCCAAGUUGGCCUGAACUGCGUACAGUGCUUAGUUGCUCGGCUACAGUCAGAGACUCUUGUGUAUCCAGGUGUCAAAAAAAGUAAAAAUGUAAUCCAGAAUUACCAUACAUUAAUUUUUGUUGCCAGCUACUAAUUCCAAGGUGUGGUGUUGAAGUCUGUUUAUACAGGCUUGCUUUUAAUCAACAAAAUCUACAUGUAUGUGAUGAGAAGUUAAUCCUGUGUAACAUGGGGUAUCAGAUCUCACUGACAUCUAUUUUAACUUUAGAUCUAUUGCUGGGGUUUACAAUUUAAGAAAGCAAAACAAAACUUUGAAGGAAAAUAAUUAAUGAAAAAUGAUAACCUAAUGCAUUCACCUAUGUAUUCUUACCUAAAUUAUUGCUUUUUAAUAGCAAGUUCUCUUUAAGUAUGGCAAUGGGGUUUUGGCAUGACACAACGCAUAAUUCUUAUGUUUCUCCUUGUAAAAUUCCACUAUGUUCAUCAUUUCCAGCUGAUCCUCCAAAGAAAUUUUGCUCUUGGCUCCCAUUUCCUAAGUACAACAAAGCUAGUGCCAAUAGGUUGCGACUAUCUAGCUUGGUACAAUAGUUAUGGUCUGGUUUUCUGACUUGAGGACAUAACUGAAACAAUAUUGAUUUGCUUAAGUGCAGCCAAUUUAACAGGCACCAUAGCCAAGAUUCUAGUAGCUUUCUAAGUUCCUCCCCCCAUUUUAUCUGCUAGGUAUGUAACUUUAUUAAAAAUAAAGGAAUGGACAAUAUGCUGCUUUAAGAUGUCUUUUACAUGUGAUUUCAAAUGGAAAAUUUGAAACUUUUAGUGUUACAAGCUAUUUCAAAUAAUUUUUUAGAAAUAAUUGUUAUCUCCUGUUUCCUGAGAUGGUGGCUUUGCCAGAUACACCAGGUAAAUGGCUGUUCUUCUCUAGUAAUGAAUUUCAUUUCUAUACAAUAUAGAGUCCCUUGACUAGGUUUGAUUUGGAAGCAACCUGUAGCAAGUGAAGAAAAAUGAGGGGCAAGUUACUAAAAGAAGUUUUCAAGAGAACUGCCUGUUGUGUCUGUGUGGAACAACCCCCACACAGCUUGCUCUGACUUCUGAUCAGGAGGUCGAUGAUCUAGAAUGGCAAUAUGGCUCUUUAAGGCAGCCUCAACAGCUCAGUCAGACUUGAGCUGCCUCAGGAUGGCUCAGGUCUUAAGGACUUCCAUCAACAGAAACAACACUGAGAAGAACCCCAAAUUCACAUCAGCUUAAGUUGUCAUAUAAUCUAUUGAUGGAAAUAUGAGCACUCCAACAUUGGUUAUGAAGUUAUGCUUCACUCAAAAAGUUAUCUACUUAGAGGUGGCAUUUUUUUCCUUACUACAGAUUAAAACCACAUAAUGUACAUUAGAUCUAACUUUGAGAUACAGAAAUGCAAACCAGCAAUGUGCAUCAUUUAACUAAACCUAUGCUGAACCUAUACUUAUAUUUGAAAAAACAUUCACAAACUCAAAAUGAAAUCCUUCAUAUGGGAUAUAAAUACAGAAAAGGUCAGGCCUGAAGAAACUUUAGUGAGUAAAAUGAUAAAUAGAACUGAAAUUUCAUUCUAACAGUAUAAUUUUCUAUUUGCUCUAAUACAUGGGUAAAUAUAUAGAACAGGUAUAAAAAAGUAGCAAGUAGGGUGAUAUGUGUGCUCAUAGCCUAAUAUUGCUAUGAAAUUCCAACUAUGUGCUUUGUGUAUAAAUAAAUAAUGAUUCAGCUAAACCAAGAUUAAAGGCUCAACAUGUCUUUUUUUUCUGAAAUAGAUUGUACUUCACUAUUUGAAUGCUGUUAGCAGAAUUUUGUUGUUUAUCAUAUUA
Columba livia (rock pigeon) is the source of this 7047-nucleotide long non-coding RNA. RefSeq lists it as uncharacterized. The transcript has 6 exons. NCBI's taxonomy places the organism in Eukaryota, Metazoa, Chordata, Aves, Columbiformes, Columbidae. The record is from RefSeq and is a predicted model, not a curated record.